UUUUCCUCUGUUAUGUAUAAUGAUGACUCCCAUCAAACAUAAUGUUAGCAAUAUUUACACCUUUUAAUUUAUACUGUUUAUUUCUGUCUACAUGUGUGAAUUUGCCUUCAUUAGUUUCAGAAAAGAGCGAUGAUGUAUCGGUCAGUGGGCGGCAGCACGAGACUCCGCAAACUAGUCUGUAAGCAAAGUAGACGAAGGCAUCGAGGUUGCGGCCUGCCAUCAUUGUUAUUUUGCUUAAGGGACUGAAUAUGUUUCAUGCAGAAAUAUUAGCAUUUCCCUUAUAUCUACCAAAACUGCUUGUUUCACAGACUGCAGUUUUGUUUUGAUCCGAUGUGGUGUGCAAAUACAACCGUAUCUGCAAUGGGUUGUGGGGCAUUAACAUUUGUAACUCUAAUUUUGUUUUGACACACUGUGAAAAGAACGUUGAGAACAUCACCACUCUACAGGAAGACACAGUCCAGUAAUGGGUGUCAGAAGUUCAGUAGUGAACGACAGAAACAAACAAUCAAAAUUACCUGCAGAAAGCCCUUGAUGGACGCUUCAGCUGCAUCGUCAGACUGGCAGUACUGAUGCAUUUACUGAGAGGGGACGUGAGGGCCUACUCUGCGUGCUCAGAGUUCAAGCCCAGCAGGCUGCAGCGGUCCUGACAUAUUCUGGAACAGCAGCACAGUCUUUAGAUGACUCCUCUGAAGAUGAAAACAUGGCGAGGUACUUCUCCACUGAUGAAGAACU
This is a long non-coding RNA of Pleuronectes platessa (European plaice), 732 nucleotides long. RefSeq lists it as uncharacterized. The transcript is spliced from 3 exons. Lineage: Eukaryota; Metazoa; Chordata; Actinopteri; Pleuronectiformes; Pleuronectidae. The record is from RefSeq and is a predicted model, not a curated record.